This 667-nucleotide long non-coding RNA is filed under the name Pan troglodytes (chimpanzee). RNAcentral's name for it is "lincRNA". The record is from RNAcentral. Lineage: Eukaryota; Metazoa; Chordata; Mammalia; Primates; Hominidae.
CGGCCGCAGAUCCCGGCAACUUGCGAGCCGGGAAAAGUUUGCGGCGCCUCCGCGGGGCGGCGCGACGCGGCCCGUACCUCGCGUCCGCGGUCAUCGCGGGUGACUUUCUCGACUCGUCGUCAGCCGGGGCCGCUGCGCGGCCGGCGGGGACUGCGGGGCGGGCCGGAGUCCGUCCGAGGGCUCCCGCACCUCGGGCUGCGGGAACAUUAAAAUCUCCCCAGAUGCUCACUGCUCUGAUCAUUUCCCCUACAGCAUCAGACAUGUUGGCAUCAUCUCUUAGUUGGGCCCUGUGGCCAGGGAACCUUUCAUGAAACCACCUCUGCAGUCCUGGAGAGUUGCUGUAGAAGAAGGAAAAGAGAAGAAGACAACACAACACAGGAGGGGAUAAGUACCUCUGGACACAAUGGAAGUAGUAGUUGUUGAGCAGAGGGAAAGGGAUAGGAGAAGGAUGUGGACUGCAGUGCGGCAGUGCCAGGAAGUUCGAGGACCUUCAGAAAUCAAUCCAUGGGCUCCACAAGCACUGUAUCAAGAGGCAUUCGAGACCAGUCUGGGCUGGAGGUGGACAUGAGAGAAAGAUCCCAUAGCCCUCUUGGUCUUGGUUGGAACCGGAGGAAAAUGAAAACUGGACAUCCAUCUUAGGACUUAAUCCUACGGAGACCACAAGCUG